RNAcentral lists this ribosomal RNA (109 nucleotides) under Prolemur simus (greater bamboo lemur). Lineage: Eukaryota; Metazoa; Chordata; Mammalia; Primates; Lemuridae. The record is from RNAcentral.
GUCUAUGGCCAUAACACCCCGAACUCGUCUGAUCUCGGAAGCUAAGCAGUGGUGGGCCUGGUUAGCACUUGCAUGGGAGACCACCUGGGAAUACGGGGUGCUGUAGGCU